This 214-nucleotide unclassified non-coding RNA is filed under the name soil metagenome. RNAcentral describes it as "partial contains 5.8S ribosomal RNA, internal transcribed spacer 2, and large subunit ribosomal RNA". The record is from RNAcentral.
AACCAUAGAAACCUGCGGAGUACCUGCGGAAGGAUCAUUACAGAGUUAUCCAACUCCCAAACCCAUGUGAACUUAUCUCUUUGUUGCCUCGGCGCAAGCUACCCGGGACCCCGCGCCCCGGGCGGCCCGCCGGCGGACAAACCAAAACUCUUGUUAUCUUAGUUGAUUCUCUGAGCGUCUUAUUUAAUAAGUCAAAACUUUUAGCAACGGAUCU